UGGGGAAUAUUGCACAAUGGGCGCAAGCCUGAUGCAGCGACGCCGCGUGGGGGAUGACGGCCUUCGGGUUGUAAACCCCUUUCAGCACAGACGAAGCGCAAGUGACGGUAUGUGCAGAAGAAGGACCGGCCAACUACGUGCCAGCAGCCGCGGUAAUACGUAGGGUCCGAGCGUUGUCCGGAAUUACUGGGCGUAAAGAGCUCGUAGGUGGUUUGUCACGUUGUUCGUGAAAACCCACAGCUCAACUGUGGGCGUGCGAGCGAUACGGGCAGACUAGAGUACUGCAGGGGAGACUGGAAUUCCUGGUGUAGCGGUGGAAUGCGCAGAUAUCAGGAGGAACACCGGUGGCGAAGGCGGGUCUCUGGGCAGUAACUGACGCUGAGGAGCGAAAGCGUGGGGAGCGAACAG
RNAcentral lists this ribosomal RNA (408 nucleotides) under uncultured bacterium. RNAcentral's name for it is "bacterial SSU rRNA". It matches the Rfam family "Bacterial small subunit ribosomal RNA", at positions 355 to 775 of the family's 1533-position model. The record is from RNAcentral.